This 346-nucleotide ribosomal RNA is filed under the name uncultured bacterium. RNAcentral describes it as "partial 16S ribosomal RNA". It matches the Rfam family "Bacterial small subunit ribosomal RNA", at positions 338 to 681 of the family's 1533-position model. The record is from RNAcentral.
CCUACGGGGGGCAGCAGUGAGGAAUAUUGGUCAAUGGGCGCAAGCCUGAACCAGCCAAGUCGCGUGAGGGAUGACGGUCCUAUGGAUUGUAAACCUCGUUUGUCGGGGAGCAAGGCCCGCCACGUGUGGCGGGAAGGAGAGGACCCGAAGAAAAAGCAGCGGCGAACGCCGUGCCAGCAGCCGCGGUAAGACGGAGGAUGCGAGCGUGAGCCGGAUUGAUUGGGUUGAAAGGGUGCGGAGGCGGAAGGUUAAGGCAGCGGUCACAUGUCGGUGCUCCACACCGGCCUGCCGUUGUAACUGGUCUUCUUGAGUGAGCGAGACGUAUGCGGCAUGCGUGGUGUAGCGG